UAAGAAUAGAAUAAAGCUAUACAGCUUUUAGAAGAAAACCUUCUUCUUUUAGGGGAAACCUUCAUGACAUUAGAUUUGGCAAUGAUGUCUUGAAUAUGACACCAAAAGCACAGGCAACAAAAGAAAAACUAAAUAAAUUGAGCUCAAUUAAAAUUAAAAACUUUUGCGCAUCAAAUGAUACUAGGAGACUGAAGUGACAACCCACAGAAUGGGAGGAAAAAAAUGCCAAUCACAUAACUGAUAAGGGAUUGAUAUCCAGAAUAUAUAAAGAACUCCUAAAACUCAACAACAAAAACCAAAUAACCCAAUUGAAAAAUGGUCAAAGAACUUGACUAGACAUUUCUCUAUAGAAUGUAUACAAAUGGCCAAUAAGCACAUCAAAAGAUGCUCAACAUCACUAGUCAUUAAGGAAAUGCAAAUCAAAAAACCCCAAUGAGAUACCAUUUCAUAACCAAUUAAAAUAGCUAUUUUCAAAAUAAAAAUAAACAGAAAAUAAAUGAUAGAGAGGUUGUGGAGAUAUUGGAACACUUAUGCAUUGCUUGGUGGCAUGUAAAAUGGUCUAGCUACUAUGGAAAGCAGUUUGGUGGUCCUUCAAAGAGCUAAGCAUAAAGUUACCAUAUGAUCCAGCGAUUUCACUCCUGGAUAUGUAUGGAAAGGAAUCAAAAGCAGGGACUCUAACAGAUACUAACAUGUCAACGUUCAUAGUAGCGGUAUUCACAAUAGCCAAAAGGUGGAAACAACCCAAGUCUGCAUCAACAGAGAAUGAACGAAGUAUGGUGUAUACAUAUAACAGACAUUUAUACAUAUAAUAGACCAUAAAAGGUAAUGAAAUUCUGAUAUACACUACAACAUAGAUGAAUCUUGAAGGCAUUUUGCUAAGUGAAAUAAGCCAGAACAAAAGGGCAAAUAUUAUAUGAUUUCACUUAUCUGAGGUAGUUAGAAUAGACAAAGUCACAGAAACAGAAAGUGGAAUAGAGGUUACCAGCGCUGGAUGGGGGGAUGUGUGGAGAUUCAUUGUUUAUUCAUUUGUUAAUUUUAUGGGAAUUUAUUAUUUAAUGAGUACAGAGUUUCUGUUUAGGGUUAUAAAAAAAUUGUGGAAAUAGUGGUAAUGGUUGCACAGCAUUGUGAAUUUAUUUAAUGCCACUGAGGUGUACACUUGAAAAUGGCCAAAAAGUAUAUUUUACUAUAAUAGAAAAAUAUAUGGGGGGUGAGGGAAGAGACAGAGAGAGAGAGAGAGAGAGAGAGAGAGAGACUAAGUUAUCAACGGUGAAUGAUUAGAGUGUCCCUCAGUACUACCACUUCCUCUGCCCAAGCUGGCCUGGUACAGACUAUCUCCAAAUGACUUGACAAAUGUUCUCUGGUCAUAAUACCUGCAGACAAUAGGGAAGAAGAAGGGAGAAAGAAAGAUCUCACCCAACGUCUGACUCUGGCUGGCUCCUGAUUGGAGAGGGGUCUGUGGUUAGGAUACAGGGACCCCUAAGGGAUGGAUUUUUGUCUUUCAACCUUGAUAAGUUAAUCCUUCACCUUCUGGAGUUGCCCACUUGCUAUCUCUGCUCCUUUCACAAAGCAACUGUGAAAUGAGGGUCUCAGACCAGACUUAAAGAAGCCCCAUAAGUUUUCAAGACCAUCACAUCCCUCACAGCCCCUGUAUCCAUGCAUCUCUAAAUGAAUCCACAUUUUCCAGUCUUCUGUUUUACCUUUGCCUUAACAUCUAAAUAAUAGGGGUUGAGCAUCCAUUUCAGCACCAUGGGAAGCCAGAGCCUUUCCCAGAGUCCUCUCCAAUAUUUCCCAUGAUCCUGCUUGUGAGUUUAUAUUCUCAUGGCCAUAUUUACCUUCUAAUUCUUGCACUUAGGAAAUUCUUGAUUCUUACUUACAUUUUGCUCCCUACCCCCACACUAGGGCAGCUGUUCUUCCAAACCCCUGUCUUGUCUACUGUUCAGACUACAGCUGAUUUUUCUUCCCCUAGAGCAACAUGAACACACAGCUAUUAUGCUUAACAGACUUUCCCAAGGGCUAGAAAUAGCUAGCUGGUUGGCACAAGGAAGGAAAAAAACUACAUACUGAAGGUCAGACACCACUGUUUCUAGAAACUUGUUGGCCCUUUUCUUAUAGGGAAGAUUUUUCACUGGCCAUGCCCACACUUAGUUGCUGAGGAUCCUUUCUCUGAAGACCCUUUCAACCAUCUACUCUCUUUUAAGGUCCCCACCUUGUGCAAUUUCAAAAUGUCUGUUUAGCAGCUCAUAAAGCAGUCUUACUUUUAACCUCCAGCAUCCCGCUGAACUCUGAGAUCUCCCUUUGCACAUCUAAAAAUCCCUUUAAGGGAUAUUCCUAAACCCCGUUCAGUACACAAAGAAUAAGAGAAACUCUGAAAUUACAUCUUCUUUAAAGAAUCACAUCUUUAAUCUUUAAUCACAUCUUCUCUCUAAAUCACAUCUUGGGAAGGCAAGACUUACUCAUCCACAAACCAGAGCCAAUCCCAGAGGCUGUGGAAUUCUCUUCCCAUCACAUGUUCCUCUGGGUUUUAGCAAAACUGGAGAUAGGGACUCAGCCUAGCUGGGGCACUGUAAGGGCUUCCAUGGAUGACAAGGGUUGUUGGGUUAUCUAGACAAAGGUGUUUGGGGCUGUAGACAAGCAAAUGUGCAAUCCUGGGCCCUGAUCACUGUAGGGUGAGCCAGGCAAGAAUACUCAGGGAUGGUGCCCAGUGAGAUCAAGUUCUUGACCUGUCACUUCCUUCUGUGUAUAGAGACUCUUCGGGUAAAGCGAGUCUCAGAUUGUGAUUGAGCAGGUUAUGGAGAAAAGGAAAUUCAUCUGGACUGAAAGGUUCUAGAGGGAAAUGGUGUCAUUGCCAAUGCUGGAAGAAGUAGAACCAGGAGAGAGGCCAAUCUCACUCUGCUUGAGUAAUGAAGACAUUCUGGCAAUGCCACAGGAUGGACACAUGGGAUAGAAUGGAGAAUGCAGAAACAGACCUGUGCAGAUUUAGAACUUUGAAAAGUGACAGAGGUGGCAUGGCUGAUUGAGGGGAAAAGGGGAGCUCUUCGACAAACAAAGCUGAAAAAAAUGAUUAUCCAUAUGGGAGAAGAGGAAAUAUAUUCCCUAUCUCACACCAUAUAAAAAUAAACAGUUUCAGAUUGACUUAACUGUCAAAGAAAAAAGUUUAAAAAAACUUUUAACUUUAGAUUUCAAAUCCUAGAUUUAAAAGAACACAUAAAUGAGUAUCUUUUAGACCUUGGGGCAGGGAAAAGUUUGUCAAACAAAUACAGAAAGUGUUAAUCUUAGAGAUAUUAAAACAAAGAACAUCAAAUGAAACUUCAUUAAAGAAACUGAAAAGACAAAUUACAAACAGGUUGGCUGAAAGAGUAUACAAAGAACUCCUAUAAGUCAAUAAGAAAAGCAUAAACAGCCCAGUAGAAAAAUGGGCAAGAGACAUGGACAGGCAUUCACAGAAGAGGAAACAUAAAGCUAAUGAACAAACUCAACCUCAUUAGUGAUCAGAGAAGUGCAUCCAUUCAUUCGGAAACUUUAAGAAUUUGACCCAAUGUUGGAGAGGAUGUAGGUCCACACAUCUUUCAUUGCCUAUGGGUGUGUAAAUUGUUACAACUACUUUGGAAAAUCUUCCCAUAUGCCACCACAUAGUAAUUUCACUCCUAGUUACAUAGACAAAUUUUUCACACCCACCAAAAGACAUUUCAUGGCAAUAUUGCUCACAAUAGCAGUGAUAAGAGAAUAGACUGUAACAUGAAUAAUUCAUACAAUAAUAUUAUACAGUGUUCGAAAGGAAUGAACCACUGUGACACACAACGUGGAUCAACCUUACUAUCAUAUUCAGUGCAAAAUAUAAUUUAUGACAAUUAUACUCAUUUUACAAAAUUAAAAAAAAUAAAGUAAAUAUAAGAAUACAUAUAAACUGGAUAAAAUAAUGUAAAAAGGAAAGCAGGAAAUGAUGCCUCUGGAAUUUAGUAUAUUGGCUACAUUACGUUGGUGGAGGAGGCAGGGAGGAUAGGAUGAAGAAAAACCGCGUGCUGGGUGGUAUGUUUCUGGGAGUUUGUCUUUAAAAAUAAAAAUGAAACAAAACAGCAAAGAAACCCAAGCAGGGUUGUGCAUGAAACAAAGAUAAGAGUGUAUCAAGAAAUAAGUAUUAUGAUUAGUACAGUUCAGUGCAACUGAAAUCUACUUAAGGAAAUAAAAGGGGGUGGGGAAAAUUAAGUGUGAUUGUAGUGGAAAAGCUGAGGGUUUCGAAUGAGAAGAUCCCAGUGUGUAACUUUGGGAAAGUAGUGUAAUCACUCGGAGGCUCUGAUUCCUGCUCCGUACGACGGGUGAGAGUACCAAACGCUACACCAAAUAGGUUUGUUGUGAGGGUUAAUAAGAACCUGAAUAUGAAAGCCAUGUGUCUGUCCAGUGCCCAAAACUGCACCAACAGUGUCUGCCUCUUGACGUUCCCCUCUGCUGUGCACACCAUCCGCACAUUUGUGUGCAUGAAGAUUAGGGUAUAGCGGAUACUAGGGACACCUUAAUGAGAAGUCACAGAAGAUCAAUAAUCAGAAUGAGGGGAAGCAAGGGCAGCCCAGCUCCUCUGUCUGGGUGAUAAUUAGGUUGGGGAUUUGGAGGCUGAUUAAACAUAUCAAAGCCUGCGUUUUUUCUCAAGAGUGAAGCGCCCCCCUACCUCUUCCUUUAUAAUCUUUUGUAUCCCAGCGAUGCCCUGGUGGUGAUGUUAGUCAGAAAGUACUUUGUUUUUUAAUUUCAGGUUUUAGAGGCAGCUUAGCAUGGUGGAAUACACAUAAGCUUCUGUAGCAGAUUGCUAGGGCUUCCUCAUUUCUGAUUUUCCUCUUUUCUGAACACAGAGGAGUCAGGUGGGGGGCAUGUGAGUGAUCUGUUCACAGAAUAUGGGUGGAAGUGACACCGUCUGGUCAUGUUCACGUCUAGCCGUGGAAGCUCCGCACAACUUUCCAGCCCCCUCAGAUAGACGGAUCGGAAAGGCCACACGUCAGGGUGGAGGAAACCAGAUGGAAAGAGACAGGGUUGCUGAAUGGCGUCAAGGAGGGCAACAACUCUGGAGAGACGCUCAGACCUGUAGCAGCUUUUGGAUGGGGAUGCUAUGGGGUUCCACGGGGGCUAUCACAAAGGGAAGCAUCCAGCUCAGCUCAUAGUACAUGGCAAUAGGCCUUCAGGAUGAAUAGAAUCUGAAAUGUGAAUUUCCAAGGAAGAGGCAGGACCACCCACUGGGACAGCAUCAUCCCGAUGACCACAGCUUGUUUAUGGCAUGUUGGUAUCAUCCCUCUUUCUCCUUCCUUCCUGGAAGCUCCUCAGUCUCCUUAUGUCUCUCUGGUUCCAUGUAAUGGACGUGCUGACUUUGUGUUUGAGGGAGUUGUUCCUUGGUUCCUGGGAAUGGAUUUUGGAGUGAAAGUAAGAAUACCUUUUCCUUCAGCUUGGGUUUCUUGGCAUGGUUAUGGGAGGUUGGUCAAGUGGGAGUGGUCAAGGACAGGCUAAGGGGCCUUGCAGCUCUAAAGACCACACCUACCGCCAGCAUGUAGGAUUCAAAUCAGGAUAAAGGUGCUGGGGCUGGAGAGGACCACAUUGUGCCAUCUAUCCCCACCAGGAACUCUUCUCCAGCCAGUUAACCCUUCAUUUGUGAAAUGUGGAUAAUCACACCCAUCUGGCAAGGUCUUUGCGCAGACUUGAGAAAAUGCCUGACACAUAUCAGGCCCUCGGUAACUGAUUUUGAUGAUGUCUGUGUGUCGAGUACCAAAGGUAGUGCUGGACAACUGUACAUAGUAGGAUUGCCCGACUCCUGCUCUCAGAUAUCCAGUAGGGGUGACGCAGCACAGGUGUCCUCGCUUUCAUGUGUCAACACCUUAAUAGGGGAAGACAACAAUUAGGUCCCCCCAGGAUGUCUUUUCUCCAGGCUAACAUAUACCUGGCUCCUCAGCUGUUGUUCACUUGAACUGGUCCUCUCCCUACUCUGCCCAUAUUUUUGAGAUGAGCCCAAAUGUGUCAGUGCCCUCCUUAAGAUGGGAACCUGGAACUUAACACUGUUCUUCAUGAGAAAGAUAACCAGGGAAGUUCCCAUGUUUUAUUACAGACCCAUUGGAAGUUAAUACCAAGCACACUAAAUGACUUACUCCAGAGAUGCACAGUAAGAUUUCUGGAAAUAGGGGACUCAAUGAAUAAACAAAAAAUACAUUUCCUCACAGGAGGUAGGGAGGCUUCUGGGGUUCUAGAAUAUUCUACUCCUUUUUUAAAAAAUUUUUUAAAAUGUAUUUAUUUUGAGAGAGAGCAAGAAACAACAGGAGAUGUGGGACAGAGAGAGAAAGAUUUUGAAGCAGGCUCCGCACUGUCAGCGAGGAGCCUGAUUUGGGCCCAAACCCACAAACUGUGAGAUCAUGACCUGAGCAGAAACCAAGAGCCCAAUGUUAACUGACUGAGUCACCCAGGUGUCCCUAGAAUGUUCCUUCUCUUGACCUAGGUGAUGGUUACAUGAGUUAUUCAUUUUUUAACAUUUAUUUAUUUAUUUUUGAGAGAGAGAACCAGCACAGGAGGAGGAAGAGGAGGAGGAAGAGAGAGAGGGAGAGAGAGAAAGCAGGGGAGGGACAGAGAUAGAGGGAGAGAGAAAAUCCCAGGCAGGCUUCAUGCUAUCGGUGUAGAGCCCCAUGUGGGGCUCAAACUUACCUGAGCUGAAAUCAAGAGUCAGAUGCUUAACUGACUGAGCCACCAAGGAACCCUAAGGUAUUCAUUUUUUGAAUAAUUCAUUGAGCUAGACAUUUUUGAGCUGAACAUUUUAAAAUAACAGUUUUAUUGAGAUACAAUUCACAUAUCAUAGAAUUCAUCCAUUUAAAUUAUACAAUUUAAUAGUUUUUAGUAUAUACAGAUAUAUACAAUCACUUACUAUAGUCAAUUUUAGAACCUUUUCAUCACCACUAAAAGAAACUGUACCCUUUAGCUAUCACCUUCCUAUAGUCCCCUCCUUCUCAGACUUAAGCAAUUACUAACCUACUUUCUGUCUCUGUAAAUUUUCCUAUUCUUCACAUUUAGUAUAAAUGGUAUCAUACAAUAUGUGGUCUUUUGCAACUGGCUUUUUUCAUUUAGCAUAAUAUUUUCAAGGUUCAUCUGUACUGUGGCACAAAUCAGCACUUUAUUUUUUUUUAUGGCCAAAUAUUAUUCCAUUGUGUGGAUAUACCACUUUUAUUUAUCAAUUCAUCAGCUGGUAGAUAUUUGGGUUGUUUCCACCUUAUGGCCCUUAUGAAUAAUGGGCUAUAAGAUUAAUGUGCAAGUGUUUGUGUAGAAAUGUUUCCACUUCUCGUGGGUAUGCACCGAGGAGUGGAAGUGUUGGGUCAUAUGAUAACCCUUUGCUGAACUUUUUGAGAAACUGCCAGAAAACAAUUUCCACAGGGGGUGCACGAUUUUACUUUCCCACGAGCAGCAUAUGAGGGUUUUGAUUGCUCCACACCCUCACCAAUACUUGUUGUUAUCUGUCUUUUUGAUUAUAGCCAUCCUAGUGGGUGUGUGGUGGUAUCUCGUUGUGGUUUCAUUUGCAUUUCCCUGAUGACUAAUUAUCUUGAACAUUUUGAUUUAUGUGCUUUUCUUAAUAUACAUCCUACUUUAAUAAAAAAAAAGUGUAUUUUUAAAACACACUCGCUUCUUGACCCCUGAUACCCAUAAAAAUUGCUCAGUUCUGAAAACACGGAACCCAGAACUUCUGGAGGCUAGAGAUUCUGCAUCUCCCAGAUGGAAUUCACCUCUGGGGGUAACCAAGUCAUUUUGGGACCAAGCUAGACUGGAGCUGCUCUCUUUCCCAGUAAGAAAUUUCCCUUGGAUCAUACACAGAAAGGCUCCAAAUGGACCUGUGUACAGGUAUGUAUUUUUCCCCUUAUACUCAGGUAAACUCAGGUUGUGAAAUGGGGUGGAAGGCUUGUAUUCAGACAUGGGUCAGCUAUCUGAAAGACUAUGUGGCACUGGACAAGGACUUGAGUCCUUGUCUCUUCAUCAAGGCACAAAGUUCAGGACAAGAAGAUUGAUGCACUUGAUCCAGACAUGGAGCUUGAGAAGAGAAUCAUCCCUAGAUCAAAUGAAAGGUGAAGCAGACACGAUGAGCAGGUGCCCAACCGGGCUGGACUCUGUUCACCUGAUCGAAGUAUACUGGUUCUGACUUCAAAGGUGUUGAGUGAGGUGGUAAGAACUUGGGCUUUAGAGUAAUGGGUCUUGGCUCUGCCACUUACUGUCUAAGAUUGGGCAAGUGACUUAAUCAUGAAGAACCUCAGUCUCUUCAGCUAUAAAUUAGAGAUCAUAACUCCCACCCUGCAGGAUUGCUAUGAUGAGAGAUAACAUAUGAAGAGUAACUGGAUUAUAAUAGAUACUCAAUAAGUGGUAAUUAUUAAAAUCAUUACAUUUUCUGCUAUAAAUUCAAAAAGUACUUAUUGAACAUUUACUCUAUUCACCCAUCUUUUCAAAUAUCCAUUCAUUCCAAAAACAUUUCUGAGCUCAAGAUUAUGCUGAGGUCAGUGAGGGGUCCUACCGAGAAAUAGAAAGCAGGCUCCUUGAGUUCAAGAAACUCAAACUUUGACUGGAAAAUAAUAAAUUAGAAAAGAAUAGAAUUAUAAAAUGGAAGCCAUCACACCUUCUUGACUGUGCUGUGGGAGUUAAGUGGGGAAGCCUGCAAGCUUGGCCUCUGGCCCCAGGCAGACUUAAUGGGUAGCCCGACUAGAGUUGUAUCUUACAUGGGGAGAGAGGCAGAGUCAGCCAAUCUACUAUGAAUCUUGGAAGCAUGGGUUUUAGAUCCCCUCACCUAGAAGGGCUUCUUCCAAGGCUCUGUACCUAAUUUUGUUUUUCUUGUCUAUAGAGGCCUCCCCCCCUCCUCCGCAAAUUGCAUAAACUUCAAGACCCACAAACCCUGGAUUAUCUCUCAUGGAGGACUGAGUUUUAAAGUCAGAAGAUAAAGUAGGAACUGACAAGCUCAUGCCUCGCAGCAUGCUCUUGGAAAGCACACAGGAGAGGUGAAGAAUCAGGAUACCCUGAGAUCUGAAAGGAAGGUAUGAAUCAAGUCAAGCUGAACAGUGGAGCAAGAAUUUGAAAGUUGGAAGCCUCUUGGACUAAGAGAAAAGAUAAAGGUGCCAGGUGGUGAGGAAUGUGAGGGCAGGGAACUAUACUUUAAACAGAAUACUCAUACAAUUUUCAUAUUACAUGUGCAAGAAUAGUGUAUAAUGCAUAAUGGUGGAACCAUGUUUGGAGUCACACUGAUCUGGGCUCUACUUAUUUGAACUCCAUGACUUAGGAAAGGUCAAGGAACAUCUUAGAAUAGAAUUUCAGUUUCAUUUGUAAAUCAUAAUAGUAAUACUUAUCUCGAAAGUAUUACUUUUGGAAUUUUAGGUUAUAAAAUUAGGGAGAUAUUUUUCUGAAAAUGAUUUGUAAACUGUAAAGAGUUCUGUUUACCAAUAUUGGUUCUAAUUCAUUUUACUCACACUGUAGAAAGAAUGUCCUUGUUCACCAACCUGAUAAUAGUGGAAGGACCCUUAGGGGGGAAACAAAGAAACAAACAAACCCAGCUCUGGUACUCUCAGAGUAAAAACUCCAGCUUAUUACAUACUUGUGAGCAAUUCCCUAAUUUCUCCAAUCCUCAGUUUCUCUAUCUAAAUCAUGAAAGUUAUUAUACUUUGCCUUUAAACACCAGUGAGGUAAUAUCUUGAUCAGAUUUAUCUUUAAGUUCCUUGGGAGGAAAUAAAUGAAAAUAUCCAAUUCACUUUCCUUAUUCGGACCUUUACUAGAAUUUGGAAAGGAGACUCUCUCAAGACUUUGAGCAACGGGGAAGACCGCUGAGUGCCACAACCCACCUUGAGCUGGACUGUAAUGAGAAGGACAUUGAUUGAGUGCUAGCUGUUGGACAUAUGGUUUUGCCUCACCCUCGUAACAGGCUAAUAUGUUUGACAUUACGGCUUAUAUUAUACAGAUGAGGAAAAUGGGGCUCAGAAUAUUUGAGCAAAUACUUCAGUUCCCACCUCUAGUAAAUGGAGGAGCAGAACAUCAGACCCAGAUCAAUGCUGGAACCUCCUUUUCCUGGUGUCCCCAGUUGACCUGCAGCUCCUUUGUGUCCAGGACAAGGAGGAUUGAACCUAUGUUCUACAGGAAGUCAGGCCUGUGACAGAUCAGUGUCCAAAGUGAGAGACUCUGUCUUCCUGUAUGUUGUGGCUGUUUCUGUUAAGCAGUGUCUUCAAAGGUCUAAUGAAGGAGGCCACCAUGGUGCCUGCAUGUCACAGAAAGAAUGUGGGCUCACAUCUUCACAAUGGCAGAGAUGGGUACAAAAGCAAAGACCUCAUCAAUUUUGGAGCAUUUCCACCUGUGAUGUUGGACAUCCUUCAGGCACGGUCUGAGAGAGGGACUGGACCAGCAUCUUCUGAACAUUGUAUUGUGGGGGAAAGACACAGAUAUGAGGAGCUCUUCCCCCUGCAGAUACACCUGUGGCACGAGCCACCCUUCCCCCAUCCCCUAAGGCAGAGUCUCCUCUCCAUCCCGUGCACACCCUUGUUGGUUUAUAGGUCCCCACUAUUAGAUGAGUAAUAAACAGUAGGAUAUAAGCUUCCCUUCUGGCCAAUCCCAGAGCUAAAGUAACAUGUUCAAACACCCUGUUAUUAUUAUUACCAAUGAUAAUAAGAGGAAUAAUGAGCAAGAAUUGCUUUUAUUAAAUAAAUCAGGAAAAUGCACUUUACAACAUGUUCCAGAGACAUGUCAAGAGGCUCUCUAAAUGUCUGGAUGGUGUUGGAGCUUGCGUUGCUCACCAUUAUGAGGGAGUUUUUCUACAAUUACUAGUCUCUCAACAGCAGGUUAGGACUCAUCUUAUAAAUAUAUAAUAACAUAAACGGGCUUUCUGUUUAUCAACUACUAUCUUAUAAGUGUGUGCUUUCCUCCUAUAAAUCCCCUUUUUUAAUAGGUGCAUUUUUGAAAUGAUACCAUAAUUGUAGCCAUUUAAAGACUAAGAUAUUUAACCUUGAUCUGUUGCUAUUUUUGUCAGUUUUGGAAUUAAAAGGGAAAUCUUAGUUUCCUCAGCUCUAUAACCUUCUUUAGGGUCAAGUGCAGUGAUCUGAGCAUGCCAAGCAUGCCAUAAAGGUGCCCAGUAAGUGUUUUUUUUUUUUGAGUGAAUGAAUAACUACAGAGAUCUUGUAGUUCAUCUACAUCACUCUCUUGCAUUCUAGGUUCUAUCUGAAACUAUCCUAGAAAGGUAGCAAUAAUAAUAUAGGAGAAGGGCGCCUGGCUGACUCAGUUGGUAGAGCAUGAGACUCUUGUCGGAGUUGUGAGUUUGAGCUCCAUGUUGGGUGUAGAGAUUACUUAAAAAUAAAUCUUCAAAUAACAGUAACAAUAACAAUAAUGUAGGAAAGCACACAGCUUGAGAACAAAUUUGUCCACCAUUGGAAUUCAGUAUUUGGUGUGCUUGGUGUAUUUUCUUUUUAAGUUGGCUUUGCACCCAGCGCAGAGCCCAAUGUGGAGCUCAAACUGAUGACUCUAAGAUCAUGACCUAAGCUGAGACCAAGAGUCAGACGCUCAACCAACUGAACCGCCCAGGUGCUCUGUGCCUAGUAUAUUUGACAUUUGGAAUAGAUCAUUUUUUAUACACUCCCUCCCUCUAUUCCUCAAAAUUAUUUCCCAUAAUACUCAUUUUCUUGAUUAGUUCUCCAGUUUUAAAAUAAUUUUAAAAAGAUAAACAGUAAUAAAGAUAUCCAAAUUUAGUAACUUACUUUAUUCAUGGUCCGAAAUGAACUGUUACCAAAAUACUAUACCUCGCAGUUCACACUGUGUUCUACUGUUUUAGAAUUUAAACACAAAUAAGACUCUAAAUCCUUGCUGCCUCUACACUCACUGCUCUGUUACUUUUUCCAGUGUGUGGGGUUUUAUUCAGUGCCAUCAAGCAAUUCUCCAGUUCUCAGUGGGCACUGACUGGGUGUCCCGCAAAUUUAGCUCAAUUCUAACACUGUCUGGAGAUAGUAGAGGUUCCAUGAAUAAGAACUCAGCCCGACAGUACUUACCCCACUUUGGAUGCCAAUCUCACGUUCAGAUUAUUACCUGUGCUUCUAACCAACUGGCUAUAAAACAGAGGUACCUACGAUCCCCCUCCUUGGGUUUAAUUAAUUUGCUAGAGGAGCACAGAACCCAGGACACCAGUUUUCUUACUAGAUACUGGUUUAUGGCCAGGGAUGUUAAAGGAUAUGAAUCUACAGCUGGAUAAAGAAAUAUAUUGGGUGAGGUCCAGAAGGAUCUUUAACACUGGAGCUUCUGUGCCAGUAGAGUUUGGGAAGUGCCAUUCUCCCAGCUCAUGGAUGCAUUCUGGUUCACCAGCUUGGAAAACCUCUGAAACUCUCCUUUUUUUGUUUUUUGUGUAGGCGCUAUUACAUAGGCAUGAUUGAUUAAAUCUUUGGUCAUUGGUGAUUGCUUCAACCUCCAGCCUCACUCCCCAGAGGUAUAGGAGGAAGCAGUGGGAAGGAAAAUUCCAACCCUCAAAGCCUGGUUGGUUUCCCUGGCAACCAGCCCCCAGCCUUGAGGGUUUCCAAAAGUUACCUCAUUAACAUAAACCCAGUUGUAGUGGAAAGGUGCUUGUUAUGAAUAACAAGACACCCAUUUCACCUUUAUGGCUCUGAAGUGAUUUCAGGAACUGAGGACAAAAGACCAAAUAUUGUAACAAAAGAUGCUCCCAUUGCUCUUAUCUGCUCCAGAAAUUCCAAGUGUUUGGGGAGCUGAGCCAGCAACUGUGGACAAAGACCAAAAUAUAGACGUAUCACACCGUUUAUUUCAAAUAAAUGGUUUAAAUGUGAGAAGAUAUGAUACCACAUGGAGCAAAGAUAUGACGUGUGUCUGGAGGAGAGUUCCAACAACUCUGAGCCAUUCUGCCCUUGCAAACAUACCCUUGGAAACAGUCCUGUGGCUGAGUCCUCAGGGGUAGGGUGGGUCAGGGCAACAGGAUUGUAUAACUGGGAGUUUCGGAAAUUAACUGCCAUAUAGAAUACAGUGUUCACUAAAAAUGGGUUAAUUUGGAUCAUGUAAGUGUGUGUCUGUGUGCAUAAACUCAGCAGUAAUCAUAGCAACUAAUUAGAACUGAGACCAAUAUGAGGUUUGGUGGGGGCCCGGGAGCAUUUUCUCAAUGACUUUCUUUUGAACUGCAGGCACAUGUUACGUCGACUGACUUCAGUUUCAUUACUGUUUUUAAAUUCUCUACUGAAAAUGCUCCCCAUUAUUGCUUCCUAGUCAGCAGUCCAUUGUCAGAAAACUCACAGUAACAGAAUUAGGGGGAACAAGUGUGAUCUAGGGGCAGGGCCUACCCACUGAGGGGAGGUGCAUUUCUCAGUGCAGCAGGACCUUCACCUCUGCCUAAUGACAAAACUAAAUCAAUUUAGUGAUGAGUCUGAUGUCCUUUAUGCAAGGGAAAAUAUUCCAUGAUUGGGGCGGAAGGUAAUAGUGCUCACAGGCAGGGGACACUUCCCGAGGCAUCUGGGACAAGUCCGAGUUUUAUAGAACCUGAGAAGAGGUUCUAUAGGCAGAAAUGGCACAAUCAGCUAAUAGAUCCUAUUUUCCAGGGUAAGAUGAGCUAGCUAAAGUUGAGCUGAAGGGUUGUGACUGGAGUAUGUUCCAUUCCCUUUGAUAGGUGUUUCCCCAAAGGGACAGGCUGACUCGGGUUUAGGCUUGUGACCUGGGCCAGGCCCCUAGGGUGGCCUCCAUUUUGUGAGUCCAGACAUAUGAAUUAACUUUACUGGCUCUCACACUGAUGUCCCUGCCCCCAGGAACUCAUAUCUGAGUCCAGCAGGGCUGAGGUGGUGAUAACAGGAAGGGCCACUAAUUAAACCCUAAAUAAGUCAGUUUGGUCCUUCUGAUGAGGGAGCAUAAGGCAGGCUGAGGGCAAAGUACAAGCUAGCACACACCUCUUCCCACCAGGUAGAAUAUGUGUGAUAUUCCUCGGGCACUCCUGGCUGCCCAAGAACAAAGGAAAAGAAAGGAAACAAAUGGUUAACUGAGAGAGAUCCCAGUUAUACAGGACAUGAGUCUCCAUCAGUUUACAAAUAUCUGAGUAAAUUACAAGAAAAAGGCAAUCUUCUCAAUCACCUAAUAUACAGAAACCUGUAGACUCAGUUUCAUGGAGCCCUAACAUCACCUUCCCCUCCGUAGAGAUAUGGGGAACAAAGGCAGGAAGAAAAUGGCAGGUAAAAUUAAAUUUCCUUAUAACCUGCAGCCCAUGGACAAAUACUUGAGGCAAAAACAGAGUAUAACUUUUCUCCAGGCACUCCCUACUGUCUUAAUGUCAAUGCUUUGCUAGAGGGGAAAACCUUAGUUUGACAAUAGCUAGGACUUCAGUAAUCUGGGAGUCUUUAGCGUAUGAAAAUCCCUUUAAGAAACGUC
Molecule: long non-coding RNA, 14361 nt
Organism: Acinonyx jubatus (cheetah)
Lineage: Eukaryota; Metazoa; Chordata; Mammalia; Carnivora; Felidae
Exons: 4
Source: RefSeq, a predicted model, not a curated record